GUGGUGGUAGCUCAACUGGACGAGCGCCCUUUUCGCAAAGGGGAGGAUGGGGGUUCGACUCCCCCGCACCCUU
RNAcentral lists this transfer RNA (73 nucleotides) under Mesorhizobium huakuii 7653R. RNAcentral's name for it is "tRNA-Ala (CGC) (tRNA-Ala-CGC-2-1)". It matches the Rfam family "tRNA". Rfam says of the family: Transfer RNA (tRNA) molecules are approximately 80 nucleotides in length. Lineage: Bacteria; Pseudomonadati; Pseudomonadota; Alphaproteobacteria; Hyphomicrobiales; Phyllobacteriaceae. The record is from RNAcentral. RNAcentral also lists the same sequence under 2 other names.